CCUACGGGUGGCAGCAGUGGGGAAUAUUGGACAAUGGGCGAAAGCCUGAUCCAGCCAUGCCGCGUGUGUGAAGAAGGCCUUCGGGUUGUAAAGCACUUUCAGUGGGGAAGAAAGCCUUGGGGCUAAUACCCUCGAGGAAGGACAUCACCCACAGAAGAAGCACCGGCUAACUCCGUGCCAGCAGCCGCGUUAAUACGGAGGGUGCGAGCGUUAAUCGGAAUUACUGGGCGUAAAGCGCGCGUAGGCGGUCUGAUAAGCCGGUUGUGAAAGCCCCGGGCUCAACCUGGGAACGGCAUCCGGAACUGUCAGGCUAGAGUGCAGGAGAGGAAGGUAGAAUUCCCGGUGUAGCGGUGAAAUGCGUAGAGAUCGGGAGGAAUACCAGUGGCGAAGGCGGCCUUCUGGACUGACACUGACGCUGAGGUGCGAAAGCGUGGGUAGCAAACAGGAUUAGAUACCCGAGUAGUC
RNAcentral lists this ribosomal RNA (465 nucleotides) under Vreelandella stevensii. RNAcentral's name for it is "partial 16S ribosomal RNA". It matches the Rfam family "Bacterial small subunit ribosomal RNA", at positions 338 to 795 of the family's 1533-position model. The record is from RNAcentral. Lineage: Bacteria; Pseudomonadati; Pseudomonadota; Gammaproteobacteria; Oceanospirillales; Halomonadaceae.